This 407-nucleotide unclassified non-coding RNA is filed under the name soil metagenome. RNAcentral describes it as "partial contains 5.8S ribosomal RNA, internal transcribed spacer 2, and large subunit ribosomal RNA". The stretch from base 1 to 122 matches the Rfam family "5.8S ribosomal RNA", at positions 35 to 154 of the family's 154-position model. The record is from RNAcentral.
GAUGAAGAACGUAGCAAAAUGCGAUACUUGGUGUGAAUUGCAGAAUCCCGUGAACCAUCGAGUUUUUGAACGCAAGUUGCGCCCGAAGCCUUUUGGCCGAGGGCACGUCUGCCUGGGCGUCACGCAUCGCGUCGCCCCCUCCGACAAUUCUCCGCAAAGGGAACUUGAGUUUUGGGGGCGGAUAUUGGUCUCCCGUGCUCAUGGCGUGGUUGGCCGAAAUAGGAGUCCCUUCGAUGGACGCACGAACUAGUGGUGGUCGUAAAAACCCUCGUCUUUUGUUUCGUGCCGUUAGUCGCGAGGGAAACUCUUAGAAAACCCCAGCGUGUCGUCUUUUGACGGCGCUUCGACCGCGACCCCAGGUCAGGCGGGACUACCCGCUGAGUUUAAGCAUAUCAAUAAGCGGAGGA